Molecule: ribosomal RNA, 253 nt
Filed under: uncultured bacterium
Lineage: Bacteria
Description: partial 16S ribosomal RNA
Rfam family: Bacterial small subunit ribosomal RNA
Source: RNAcentral
UACGAGGGGGGCAAAUGUUGUUCGGAAUCACUGGGCGUAAAGGGAGCGUAGGCGGGUUCUUAAGUUAGGUGUUUAAUCCCGGGGCCCAACCCCGGACCGGCACUUAAAACUGGGAAUCUUGAAUAGUGGAGAGGUCAGUGGAAUUGGGGGUGUAGCGGUGGAAUGCGUAGAGAUCCCCAAGAACACCAGUUGCGAAGGCGGCUGACUGGACACAUAUUGACGCUGAGGCUCGAAAGCACGGGGAGCAAACAGG